Molecule: long non-coding RNA, 851 nt
Filed under: Monodelphis domestica (gray short-tailed opossum)
Lineage: Eukaryota; Metazoa; Chordata; Mammalia; Didelphimorphia; Didelphidae
Description: lncRNA (ENSMODG00000043072.1)
Source: RNAcentral
AGAUGAUUAAUAGCACUUACCUCAAAGGCUUGUGAAAAUCAGAAUAGCUUAUAAAUUCUUUUGCAAGAUUUGGGUAUCAAUAGAUGGUUUUAUUUUGCCAUUCCCUAAUGGAUGAAUAAAUGAAAACAUCUUUGUUUUCAGUUCUUUGAUGACAUAGUUUAAACAUUUUUUUACUUCACAUAGCAAUAUACUACUUCAAAUUUCAAUUCCCCAUUAGCCUGGGAAUUUUCUCCACAGAUAACUUCAUUUUUUUGUCCUUCAGCUUACCCCCAUUUAUCUGCCACCUCCCUCCUAAAGAAAAAUAUACAAUAGGUGAGCAAGAAUUCUAUGGAUACCUGUUUCAAAUCAUAUCCAAUUCUAUUGGACAGCCAAAUGGAAGCAUUGCAUAGUGGCUGGUCCUUGUCAUCAGUGAACCACUGAAGAGCCCACAAAACAUGUUUCCGUGGUCCUGGCUUCACUCACUGUGUACUGGAGCCAAAGCCACGGGCUGGUGUCUGUUCCUGGAGAGCUUGCCUUCAUCUCUCCAGGGGUGGUGAGGUUGCUCAGUGGUCUGGUGUCAAGAAGAUAUGACUUCAAAUGUGGCUGCUAAUACUUACUAGCUGUGCUCUAAUCACAGAUGUUGACAACCUAUGGCUACCUUCCUUCUUGGGUCCCAAUUUCUGGAGGAAGGAUAUGUAAAAUAUGAGGGUGCUGGACUGGAUGAUCUCAAGCAUUCUUUCCAGACACAGAAUUUGAUGAGUCUACGAGCUGCUUUCAAAUUAUUCUCUAGGAGGAAGGGAGAUGGACCAGCCCUCCACAAAAUUGUCCAAAUGAUGAUGUUUUAUAAAUCCCAAACCAAGGCACGUAUUUAA